RNAcentral lists this ribosomal RNA (292 nucleotides) under uncultured bacterium. Its description in RNAcentral is "partial 16S ribosomal RNA". RNAcentral also lists the same sequence under 1 other name. The record is from RNAcentral.
GGACUACCCGGGUUUCUAAUCCUGUUUGCUCCCCACGCUUUCGUGCAUGAGCGUCAGUAUUGGCCCAGGGGGCUGCCUUCGCCAUCGGUAUUCCUCCACAUCUCUACGCAUUUCACUGCUACACGUGGAAUUCUACCCCCCUCUGCCAUACUCUAGCCUGCCAGUCACCAAUGCAGUUCCCAGGUUGAGCCCGGGGAUUUCACAUCGGUCUUAGCAAACCGCCUGCGCACGCUUUACGGCCAGUAAUUCCGAUUAACGCUCGCACCCUACGUAUUACCGCGGCGGCUGGCAC